Zonotrichia albicollis (white-throated sparrow) is the source of this 1618-nucleotide long non-coding RNA. NCBI's taxonomy places the organism in Eukaryota, Metazoa, Chordata, Aves, Passeriformes, Passerellidae. The record is from Ensembl.
AAAGUCUCUCACAAGACUUUGAUCUAGGAUGGCACUUCAUUCCUGCAGACCUGUGACAAGUCAUGGCAGUGUCCCCUGAGUCGAGCUCACAGCAUGCUCAGGGGCUGCCUCCUCUGCAGUGUCCUGUGUUACCUCCUCAGUGGCCCAAGUGCAGGACAUACCUAUGAGUCAGCAGUAAAGCACACACCAAGAGGAUGUGUGGAACCCUUCAAAUCUCAAGCUCAUUGUAUCUGUCUGCAACUGAAGACUCAGGAAGCCUUGGGAAAGAGCGUGCCUCUUGCUUGCUUUCCUGAUUUGAUCUUACCAAGGGGCCAUGGUGGAUCAUGAAAAUCUCCCUGCUCCCAACUGAGCAGUCACAGAGAAGCACUGGAUGUCCAUCUUCCUCCUUUGGCCUUGUCCUCAUUUGGAUACUGACCCUCUCCCCAGCACAGAUCGUCUCUCCUUUGCUUGACAUCCUUGGUAUGCAAAACAUGGCUCCUCUGUCCUGCUAUUGCAGAGUGGGACUGAGAAGUGCAGGUGCUUGGAGCCAUCCUGUUGCUUGCUUCUCAUCUCCUUGCAGUGUUCCCAUGCCCCAGUUUCCCAGGAAUGGAUGUGAAUGCAGCUGUUGGGAGAGUCGGUGCCCAUCUGCCUGGGUCGAAUGCUGCACUGGGAGCAACACUGCUGUUGCCUGUGGGGCAGAGCCAGGAUGUGAGUGAACACUUCAGAAUCAGGCUGGGGUGUGCAAGUUCAAGCACAGCUGAUGGUGCCAGGAAGUUCUGUGCUAAUGAAUGGCUACAAAGUUCUCUGCAAGCCCUUCAGAUGAAACACCCACAGGAGCACAGCGGAGGGUGCAGUCACCUCUCAAAGGACGCUGUGUGCUGCCAGCCAGGACCCGAAGGCUUUGCUGUGCUGGAUUCAGAUCAGAUACAGAGCUAUGGGUAUUUCUCCUGGGGAUGGGGCAAGGUUUUGCCUUCAGUCCUGGAAGUUGUGGGUCUAGCACUCAAUGGAGCCACACCAACGUCCCGGUCCCUGUCUCCGGGACGCAGAUGCAUUUACUUGGCACAAACCCUUCACAGCAUCAGUACAGGAGGAGAAGCCUCUGAUCUGACUCAACUCAGCCUCCAAGUCCCUGUCUGCAGUACACAUCUGCUGCUGAAUCUGGCACUGGAGCUGCUCAGUGUCCCUUGGCCUCCCUCCAUCCACGCAGCCGACAGCGCCCUGCUCCUCAGGCAGGACUCGCUUGCAAUCCCCUCUCACUCUGGAGCCCAGAAGUGAAGCAGAAGGUAGGAAAGCCAGGCUGGGGUCUGUCUCACUUUGGACCUUUUGCUCUGCCUGGAGGUGGUGGAAUCCAUGCCCAGCUCGGUCUGAGGCAAGAGCAGAUGCCUUUGUGACAGCCUCAGCAGGUGUCCUGAGCAAGCUGGGAGCAGUUUCUGUGUGGCAGCCCUAUCAGGGCUGUGGCAGUUUUGUUCCUGUCCCGAUGGGUUGCUCUGGUGAGAUGCCACAGCAUGGUGGGACAUGCUGGUUGCCAAGGACAGGGAUGUGCUGUGACAGAGAUGUCUCCUCAACUCCCCCAAAUUUGAAAGUGGUGCUUUAUUAACUAAGGAGAGCAAUAAAGUGCACAGAGUCGUUGUUCUGAGCA